This 403-nucleotide ribosomal RNA is filed under the name bacterium enrichment culture clone ALO1_GLFRUDD03FRZ3L. RNAcentral's name for it is "bacterial SSU rRNA". It matches the Rfam family "Bacterial small subunit ribosomal RNA", at positions 9 to 412 of the family's 1533-position model. The record is from RNAcentral.
GAGUUUGAUCGUGGCUCAGAUUGAACGCUGGCGGCAUGCCUUACACAUGCAAGUCGAACGGCAGCACGGGAGCUUGCUCCUGGUGGCGAGUGGCGAACGGGUGAGUAAUGCAUCGGAACGUAUCCUGGAGUGGGGGAUAACGUAGCGAAAGUUACGCUAAUACCGCAUAUUCUGUGAGCAGGAAAGCGGGGGACCUUCGGGCCUCGCGCUCUUGGAGCGGCCGAUGUCGGAUUAGCUAGUUGGUGAGGUAAAGGCUCACCAAGGCGACGAUCCGUAGCAGGUCUGAGAGGAUGAUCUGCCACACUGGAACUGAGACACGGUCCAGACUCCUACGGGAGGCAGCAGUGGGGAAUUUUGGACAAUGGGGGCAACCCUGAUCCAGCCAUGCCGCGUGGGUGAAGAA